Molecule: long non-coding RNA, 8799 nt
Organism: Amphiprion ocellaris (clown anemonefish)
Lineage: Eukaryota; Metazoa; Chordata; Actinopteri; Pomacentridae
Source: Ensembl
GCUCAACAGUCAUUGGGGGGUUAGAACAACCCAUUUGGUUUAAUGAGGCCUUAUUGAGCCCUGAUAGGCUUGCUGGGGAUAAAACCUGGAGCUUGGGAGAGGAGAGCGACAUUUUGGAGCAAGAUGGCAAGAGGGACGGCGGCCACAUACCUGCAUGGAGUCCUUCUCCUGGCUCUGCUGAAACCUUCACUGCAAGGAGGUGUAUACAUACCAGCUGGUGGUGCUGCAGGAGGAGCUGGAACUGGUAUCGGAGCUGGUGCAGGACCUGGAACUGGAUUUGGACCAGGUGGGACUGGAACAGGUUUUGGCCCUGGAGGAGCUGGGACUGGAUUUCAGCCUGGUGGAGGAGUUGGACCAGGAGGUGCUGGCGGAGGUUUAGGAGGAUUUGGACCAGGAGCUGGUGGAGGUGGCUACGGUGGUCAAGGACCAGGAGGUGUCGGACCAGGAGGUGUCAGACCAGGAGGAGUCGGACCUGGAGGAGUCGUACCAGGAGGUGUCGGACCAGGAGGUGUCGGACCAGGAGGUGUUGGACCAGGUGGUGUCGGACCUGGAGGAGUCGUACCUGGAGGUGUCGGACCAGGAGGAGUUGGACCUGGAGGGUUCAGGCCCAGCACCUUUGGUCCAGGCAGUGGUGGACUUGGAGUUGUACCUGGAGGAGUUGGGGCUGGUGUAAAGCCGCCAAAAACAGGGGGUGGCUACGGCACUCGUGGGGCAGGACUGGGAGCUGGAGGUGUAGGAGGAGGACUGGGACCGGGCGGAGUAGGGUCAGGUGGUUUUGGACCAGGUGGUGUUGGACCUGGAGGCUAUGGAACCAGACCUGGAGGAGUUGGUCCCAGUGGUUUUGGACCAGGACACACUGGUCCUGGUGGUCAAGGGACAGGAUAUGGAGGCCUUGGAGCAGGGGGAGUGGGUGGAGGGACCCUUGGAGCAGGAGGCACUGGGACUGGUGGAGGUCUGGGAGCUGGAACAGGCGUCACCCCUGGGGGUGGAUAUGGAGGUGGUUAUGGACCAGGUGGUGUGAUUCAAUACCCAGGAACUGGUCCCAAACCUCCCAAAACAGGCGGUGUUGAAACAUCACUUGGAGGAACAGGUUAUGGGCCAGGUGGAGCAGGGUUUGGGCCUGGUGGAGCAGGGUUUGGGCCUGGUGGAGCAGGAUUUGGUCCAGGUGGUGCAGGAGUUGGGCCUGGUGGAGCAGGAUUUGGGCCUGGUGGAGCAGGAUUUGGGCCUGGUGGUGCAGGAGUUGGGCCAGGUGGAGCAGGAUUUGGGCCUGGUGGUGCAGGAGUUGGGCCAGGUGGAGCAGGAUUUGGGCCUGGUGGUGCAGGAGUUGGGCCAGGUGGAGCAGGAUUUGGGCCUGGUGGUGCAGGAGUUGGGCCAGGUGGAGCAGGAUUUGGGCCUGGUGGUGCAGGAGUUGGGCCAGGUGGAGCAGGAUUUGGGCCAGGUGGAGCAGGAGUGGGGCCUGGAGGUGCAGGAUUUGGGCCUGGUGGUGCAGGAUUUGGGCCUGGUGGUGCAGGAGUUGGGCCUGGUGGUGCAGGAGUUGGGCCAGGUGGAGUGAGUCCAGGUGGAGCUGCUGUGCCUGGUGGAGCUCCGCUGCUCCCACAGACUGGUACUACAGGGGGAGGACCAGGAGGAAAGAGUGGUGGAAAAGCAUCAAAACAAGUUCCAGGUAUUGGAGUGCCUGGACUCUAUCAAGGUGGAUUUGUACCAGGACAAGGUUUUGGAGGCCGUGGUGUUCUCCCUGGAGUGGCCACAGGAUCUGGACUUGGUCCUCAGACUGGGACCGGCGUACUCGGUCAGGGGGGUGUUGGAACAGGAGGAGCAGGCAAUGGCCGUGGACAGCAGCUGCCUGGGGUUUUUCGUGGAUACCCUCUCAUAUCACCAAAAUCAGGUGCAGGAAAAUCAAAGAAUCCAGCCAAAAUUGCAGCUAAAUAUGGUGGAGCUGGCAGACUUGGUCAGGGAGGAACUUUGGGUGGUGGGGCUGGAAGAGAAGGUGUAGGGGGUACCCCUGGAUUUGGAGGCGGAGUUGGAACAGGCGGUGGACCAGGAGCUGUACCUGGAUUUGGAGGCGGAGUUGGAACAGGCGGCGGGCCGGGAUUAGUACCUGGAUUUGGAGGCGGAGUUGGAACAGGCGGCGGGCCGGGAUCAGUACCUGGAUUUGGAGGCGGAGCAGGAACAGGAGGCGGGCCUGGUUUAGGUUAUGGACCUGGCUCAGCCAAAGCACGCAAAUAUGGCAGUGGAGGCACUGGAGUAGCUGGAGGCCUUGGAGCUGGUGUUGGUCUUGGCACAGCAGGAGGACCUGGUGGUUUUGGUCCAGGUGGUGCUGGCACUGGCGCAGCUGGAGGCCUGGGAGGCGGAAGACAGGGAGGAGGAGUUGGCCCUGGCACGGGUGUGGGACCUGGCUCUGGGGUUGGUUUUGGUCCAGGUGGUGCGGGCACUGGGCCAGGCGGUCUUGGCUACGGUCCUGGUGGUGCUGGCACUGGGCCAGGCGGUCUUGGCUAUGGUCCUGGUGGUGCUGGCCUUGGAACAGGAGGCACAGGAACAGGGCCCGGAGGAUAUGAUGCCAGUGCCAAAGCCCGUAAAUAUGGCAUGUUAAGUGGAGCACUUGGAGGUCCAGGAAUAGGUACUGGAGGAGUCAGGCCUGGUGGUGCUGGAACUGGCUAUGGACCAGGUGGAGUUGGACCAAGUGGAGUUGGACCAGGCGGAGUAGGACCAGGUGGAGUAGGACCCGGUGGUGCUGGCACUGGCUAUGGACCAGGUGGAGUUGGACCCGGUGGUGCUGGAACUGGAUUUGGACCAGGUGGAGUUGGACCUGGUGGUGCUGGAACUGGCUAUGGACCAGGUGGAGUUGGACCCGGUGGUGCUGGAACUGGCUAUGGACCAGGUGGAGUUGGACCCGGUGGUGCUGGAACUGGCUAUGGACCAGGUGGAGUUGGACCCGGUGGUGCUGGAACUGGCUAUGGACCAGGUGGAGUUGGACCUGGUGGUACUGGCACUGGCUAUGGACCUGGAGGUUAUGCUGGUGCCAAAGCCCGUAAAUAUGGUCUUCCUGGAGGUGCUGGAGGUGCCCUGGGUGCAGGAGGACUUGGGGGUGGGGUUGGGCCUGGUACUGGGCUCGGAGUAGGAGGAGGGUUUCCUGGACGAGGUGUUGGAGUAACAACUGGUGGUGGACCUGGAGCAGGAGUAGGGGUGGCUGGGACACCUGGUUCUGGUAUUGGAACAGGAGGUGGACCAGGUGGCUUUGGACCAGGCGGUGCUGGAGGAUAUCCUGGGGGACCCAAGUCUCUCAAAUAUGGGCUACCUGGUGGUGGCGGAGCCCCUGGAUCUGGUCUAGAUGGAAGAUUUGGUGGCCCAGCAGCAGGUGGUUAUGGUCCAGGGACUGGAGGAGCACUAGGGACUGGAAGAGGAUAUGGACCUGGUGGAUAUGGGCCUGUGGCUGGGACUGGUUAUGGACCAGGUGGAGGUUAUGGUUUAGGACCAGGUGCUGGAUAUGGAACAGGUUAUGGAGCUGGAUCAAAACUUGCUAAAUAUGGUCCCGGUGGAGCAGGUGCUGGUGGGGUACUUGGAGGUGGACUAGGACGAGGAGGUGGCUAUGGAACAGGAGGCUAUGGAACUGGCAGUGGAGGCUAUGGUACAGCUGGAUCUAAAGCUGCUAAAUACGGGCAACCUGGUGGAGUUGUUCCCGGGACAGGAGCAGGGACUGGUGUUGGAGUGAAUGGCACCAGCACUUUAACUGGUGCACGGGCAACAGCUAGACCAAGUGGUGAUGGUGGUGCUGGCAGUGUGAUAGAGGGGUCUGGGAGUCCUGGAGGAGAAGGAGUUACUGGUGUAGCUGGCAGACCAGUAGGUGCAGGAGGUGAUAGAGAUGUCCUGGGUGGAACAGGGAUCCCCAUCAUUGGAGCAAAACCAGGACUCAAUGGGACCACAGUCCCAGGUUCCACAGGAGCUUCCCCUGUUGGUGGUGGGGCUGUACAACCAAGUGCUGGGACCGGAGUUGGUGGUACAAGAGUUCCCCCUGGAGGCUCUGGUGGUGAUGUCUCAAAUGGAGCAUUGCCUGGCGCCAAACCUCUCAAACCCCCAGGUGUCCCUCGAGGUGACACACCAGGUGAAGGAGAUGGAGAAGAUGGCCCCGAUGGAGAGAGAGGUGGUACAGGAGGCACAGGUGGAGGGCCAGGAGGAGUAGGAGGGGGACCUACCAGAGCAGGACCAGCAGGAGGUGUUUCUGGUGGUGCAACAGCAGUAGGAAGAGGAGACGGUCCUGCUACUGGAACUGGACUUGGAUCAGGAGGUGCAGCUGGUGGAGUAGGAGGAACACCAAAACCACCCAAAGAUGGGACUGUCGCAGGAGGUGUAAGCGCAGGACCUGGUGGAGCUGGUGGACUUGCAGGAGGAGUUGGGUCAGCUGGACGAGGUCCUGGAGGAGCAGGCCUGGUACCUGGGGCUGGUGGAGUAGGAACAGGAUUCGCAAAACCUGGAAAAAGCUAUGGUGCUUUUGGAGCUGGAGUUUCACCAGGCGGAGGCAUACGUUACCCAACAGGAGCUGGAGUAGGACAAGGAACAGGAAAACCAGGCAAAGCAUAUGGAACUCUCGGAGUAGGAGGACAGGGUGGGUUUGGACCUGGCGGAUAUGGAGCUGGUCCUGGUGGCUUUGGUACUGGUCCGGGAGGUUACGGAGUGGGACCCGGAGGUUACGGGGCUGGCCCAGGUGGUUAUGGAGCUGGACCUGGAGGCUAUGGAGGCACAACUGGAAGCAGAGGCAUCGGUGGUGGUCCUGGGGGUGUUGGGACUCUUGGAGUUGGAACUGGUCCAGGAGGUGUAGGUCCUGGCGGAGUUGGUGGCGGACUGGGUGGAUACGGUGGUGGUGUGGGGCCUGAUGGUUCUAGAUAUGGUACAGGUCCAGGACGGGGCACUGGGACUGGUGCUGGCAAACCACCAAAAAGUUAUGGAGCAGGAGCUGGUGGUACUGGUGUUGGACCUGGUGGCUAUGGCACUGGACCAGGUGGAGCUGGUUCUGGUCCAGGAGGUUUUGGACCAGGUGGCUUUGUGCCAGGCGGCCCUGGUGCUGGUACUUAUGGACCAGGUGGCACUGGUUCAGGUGGAUAUGGGGCCGGCACUGGAACUAGACCUGGUGGCUUUGGACCAGGUGGUGCCGGAACAGGAACAGGAGGCUUCGGAACAGGUGGUGCCGGAAUAGGAACAGGAGGCUUCGGACCAGGUGGUGUCGGAACAGGAACAGGAGCCUUCGGACCAGGUGGUGCCGGAACAGGAGGCUUCGGACCAGGUGGGGCUGGAACAGGAGGCUUCGGACCAGGUGGGGCUGGAACAGGAGGCUUCGGACCAGGUGGGGCUGGAACAGGAGGCUUUGGACCAGGUGGUGCCGGGGCUCAAGGACUGGGGACAAGAAAACCACCCAAAUCAGGUUAUGGAUCAUCCUCACUGGGUGGAGCUGGCUUUGGACCAGGUGCAGGAGUUGGACCUGGUGGAACAGGUACCGGACCUGGCAGAUAUGGGCCGGGUGGCUUCGGACCAGGUGGUACUGGCGUUGGAACGGGAGGCUUUGGACCAGGUGGUACUGGCGUAGGAACAGGAGGCUUUGGACCAGGGGGUGCUGGCACAGGAACAGGUGGCUUUGGACCAGGUGGUGCUGGAGUAGGAGGGUUUGGACCUGGUGGUGCUGGAACAGGAACAGGAUUUGGACCAGGAAGUCAAGGAUCAGGAAAAAGAAAACCGUCUAAAUCCGGUUAUGGAACUGGUUAUGGUUCAGGAAGCUUAGGAGGAGUUGCAGGAACUGGCACUGGUGGAGCUGGAGCUAGAACUGGCGGCUUUGGUCCAGGAGGAGCUGGAACAGGUGGCUUCGGUCCAGGAGGAGCUGGAACGGGUGGCUUCGGUCCAGGAACUGGCGGUUUCGGUCCAGGAGGAGCUGGGACUGGCGGUUUCGGUCCAGGAGGAGCUGGGCGUGGUGGCUUCGGUCCAGGAGGAGCUGGAACGGGUGGCUUCGGUCCAGGAGGAGCUGGAACGGGUGGCUUCGGUCCAGAAACUGGCGGUUUCGGUCCAGGAGGAGCUGGGACUGGCGGUUUCGGUCCAGGAGGAGCUGGGACUGGUGGCUUCGGUCCAGGAGGAGCUGGGACUGGCGGUUUCGGUCCAGGAGGAGCUGGGACUGGCGGUUUCGGUCCAGGAGGUGCUGGAACUGGCAGUUUCGGUCCAGGAGGUGCUGGUGGAUAUGGACCUGGUGGCCAAACAAGAAAGCCUCCUAAAUCAGGUUAUGGCUCAUCGUUAGGUGGCACUGGCUAUGGACCAGGUGGUGUAGCAGGAGGCCUUCCUAGUACUGGAACAGUAGGAAUCAGUGGAGGCGGUCCAGGUGGUGUAGGAGGGCAGGCAGGAGGCCCUGGAGGACCAGGCCAGGGAGUAGGAGGAGGACCAGGUGGCUUACCAGGGGGUGCUGGCCCUGGUUUUGGAGGGGUGGCUGGUGGAGGCUAUCCAGGAUUUGCAGGGGCUGGGCAAAAAUCCAAGGCACAGAAGGCAGCCAAAUAUGCAGCCCUGCAGGCCCUACUUGGAUCUGGGGGCUACAGAGGUGCUGGCUGUCAGGGUAAAUUCUGUGGCCGAAGGAGGAAGUGAGCCACCAACAGACAUGAAGUGACCUCAUCAAUACAACAGUGGUGCUAUUGCAUGAUCCCAAACUGUAAAUGUCUUAUCUGCCAUGGAAGCUAAAGCUUCAACACAUUCCAAGUGUUACAUUUUUAUUUGCUUAGAUGUUGUACAAGGCUUACUGAGUAAGAAAAAUGGUUCUCAACCUGUUAGAAUCCUGAUUCCUGAAAGCAAGAUGCUGCAGACUGCUAUGCAGAUUGGAGGAUUUGUCACUGUCACAUUGAUUUUUUGGGGGGAUAAUUUGCAAAUUUGGCUUUGGUCAGAUAUAAAGUAUUCACAGUUUCUCAAGAAAAAACACAAAUUAGAGUCUGAAUUUCAAGAAUUAAGUUUCAAGAGUGACAAUAGGCUUGUUUAAGAUGGGACAAACUUGCGCUGAAUUGAUCAACACAGAUUGCUGCAUAAUGGAUGCUAGUUAUAUUUCCAUAUUGAUUCCAACUUGUUUUGAUGUCAGAAUGACACAGGCAAUAACAGCAUCAUGAGAUCAUGACAGAAAACAUCUGGCUUUCACCUGCUCCAUUAGCUGAUUGGUUCUAAUGUCGAGUCUACAAUAUGAAAUUUGAUAAUGAUAAGUUACAAGAGCGUUCAUGUAAAAAUGGAGGCUGAACCAAGAACAGAGGUUACAGAUGCCCUGUCAUAAUUAAAACUAUUUAAUGAAUCAACUAGUUUCUGUAACUUCCUGCUUUGACUGAAAGCUGCUGGAAACUGUCUUGACUGCUGACUUUUAACACUACCCCGUGCUGUUGCUAUCUGUUCCUGACUUCUGUUAGAACCGCAGUUGAUCUCAAAUGAGUCUAUUAUUCCAUCAGCAACACAACAACCAGCAAACUGGACACAAUGGAAUUCUUCAAGCUCUAGUUCUAAUUUGUUAACAUUUCUUAUAGUCCUAAUAUUCCCCAAUGAAUCACUUUGUAAGUCUCUGGGGAUCUUGACUACCAGGCUGAGAACCACUAAAAUGAAGGAUCUGUAUUUCUUUUUAUCAGUGAGGCCAACCUGCUCUAUACUACAGUUAUUGUUUUCUAUUGCUGCGUUGAAUAUCAUUUGUGUUCCAAUGCAAGUAUCACCAUGAAACCUCUGGGUUGAGACUGAUACCAAGGACUCCCUCAGGGCAGCUCCUUCAGACCUGUCUGCAUGCUGACACAAGGUUUAUGAAAAACGUCUCCAAGGCAACAUUUUUGUCCAGUUAGACUGGGUCGUUCUUUUGUCUACAGAUUUUAAAAUGUGCUAAUUCACUGUUUUUAGCUUGUACAUCAGUAGACGCUCUUGUGUAAUCUAUCAGCAAUGUGUAAUGACCAAGAAACAGAUGGCUGCUGUUCUGUGGAAUGAUGAACAAAAGAGACACUCAGUGGAGUCUUCUGUGGUUUGGUGUUUUGACUGGUCAUUAUCUCAUCCUUAAAAAGCAGCCUCUGUUCAUGUCAACUGUACUCAGGCCUCAGUAGUAUCAACCGUGGAGGCCUAAAAGUAUUUUGCUAACACUGGUGAGAUUCUUCCACUCUGUUCACAACAUUAAAGACACUGUUUUAUAGCUACGUAACACUAAGUGGUAAUAGUGUAAAGUUUUGGUUAACCUCCAUUUUGCUUUCAUUGUUAGAAGGAGAUAUUUGUUAUGAUAUAAUGAUGUGGCUUAGUUUUAGCUUUUACAUUUGCUGUUGAGGAAAGCAUUCAAGCUAAAUGUGAGGUAAUAUGACAAGAAUACAUGAGGAGUACUGAUUACUGUUUUUUUUUUUCUUUUGAUGUACCUCCUUUAACACUGUUGAAAAUUUGUUCACGUUUACCAGACUUUUUAAAUUAUGCUGGAUAAUAGGGAUCUAUUUAGUCUUAUUUUACAAAUUCAAGAGCAUUAAUACAGUAUUAAAUAUUUCAGCUAGUUAUUUUGUGUGUGAGUGUUUCAACAGUUAUUAAACGUGUGUACUACUAUGAUGAUAGAAGUGCUUUGUUUUCUACAUUGUCCUUGAAUGUGUGUUGAAUCACAAUGUAGUCUGUGAGGUCAUUAGGAUAAAAAAGUAUAACUGAAUCUUAUCUUGCAUUUGAGCUUAUGUUUGUGUUUAUCAUGCGGCUCAACAUGUGUUUUUAAUGUAUUUUUUAUGUGGCCUAUGAAGAAAAUAAUGCACUUUUGUACACUUUCUGACUAUGCUCUCUGAAGUAAAGAGAUGACCAAUGACA